RNAcentral lists this transfer RNA (69 nucleotides) under Rattus norvegicus (Norway rat). It matches the Rfam family "tRNA". From Rfam's summary of the family: Transfer RNA (tRNA) molecules are approximately 80 nucleotides in length. Their secondary structure includes four short double-helical elements and three loops (D, anti-codon, and T loops). Further hydrogen bonds mediate the characteristic L-shaped molecular structure. tRNAs have two regions of fundamental functional importance: the anti-codon, which is responsible for specific mRNA codon recognition, and the 3' end, to which the tRNAs corresponding amino acid is attached (by aminoacyl-tRNA synthetases). tRNAs cope with the degeneracy of the genetic code in two manners: having more than one tRNA (with a specific anti-codon) for a particular amino acid; and 'wobble' base-pairing, i.e. permitting non-standard base-pairing at the 3rd anti-codon position. Lineage: Eukaryota; Metazoa; Chordata; Mammalia; Rodentia; Muridae. The record is from Rfam by way of RNAcentral.
GGGGAUUUGGCUCAGUGGUAGAGCGCUUGCCUAGCAAGCAUAAGGUCCUGGGUUCGGUCCCCAGCUCCG